This is a small nuclear RNA of Prunus dulcis (almond), 103 nucleotides long. The record is from RefSeq and is a predicted model, not a curated record. Lineage: Eukaryota; Viridiplantae; Streptophyta; Magnoliopsida; Rosales; Rosaceae.
UGUUCCUGGGAGCUCACAGAGCAACUUCCCAGGGUACAGAGAAGAUUAGCAUGGCCCCUGCGCAAGGAUGACACGCAUAAAUCAAGAAAUGGUCCAAAUUUUU